UUUUUUUUUUAAAUCUUUCUUUGUGUUUAGUAAAUCACAAAGCAAAGCUGCACAUUUCUGGGUUAAAUAUUUCAAAAGUUUGACUUAAUAUGUACAUUUUUCAACCUCAGCAAAAAAGCAUCAGAAAUUGAAAGCCUUACACGUUUUGAUUUGAUUUGAUUUGAAAUGGUUUAUUUCAAGCAAUUAAGUAGAAAUAAUACACCAAAGCAAUAUAAUCAUCAGUUAUACAUUCAUACAGUAACUAAUCAAAUGUAGGAUAAUUAGACAUAUUAAUAAAUAUUGCUUGAAAGGGAGUGGAAGGAAGCAAACUUAUAUAAUAAAAUAUACUAUGUUAAAAACAAACUAAACACCUUCAGCCAAAUUCUAGAGCAACAUCUGGAAAUAACUUUCUCUUACUGCAUCCUCCCACCCCGCUUCUCAAUUUGUCUUUUUCUGUCUCCAGUUGUAAAAAUUCUCAUCUUCAUGUUUAAAAUGAAAAUGUUCUUCUUAAUGUUUUCCUUGAACAUGAAGCAGAGGCUCUGUGAAACCUAAACUAUAUCCUCCAAGUCUAUGAAAGCACAA
This 561-nucleotide long non-coding RNA is filed under the name Oryzias sinensis (Chinese medaka). Its description in RNAcentral is "lncRNA (ENSOSIG00000010022.1)". Lineage: Eukaryota; Metazoa; Chordata; Actinopteri; Beloniformes; Adrianichthyidae. The record is from RNAcentral.